UACGUAGGGUGCGAGCGUUAAUCGGAAUUACUGGGCGUAAAGCGUGCGCAGGCGGUUUUGUAAGCCAGAUGUGAAAGCCCCGGGCUUAACCUGGGAAUGGCAUUUGGGACUGCAAGGCUCGAGUGCGGCAGAGGAGACUGGAAUUCCUGGUGUAGCAGUGAAAUGCGUAGAUGUCAGGAGGAAUACCGAUGGCGAAGGCAGGUCUCUGGGCUGACACUGACGCUCAUGCACGAAAGCGUGGGGAGCAAACAGG
This 253-nucleotide ribosomal RNA is filed under the name uncultured bacterium. Its description in RNAcentral is "partial 16S ribosomal RNA". It matches the Rfam family "Bacterial small subunit ribosomal RNA", at positions 524 to 776 of the family's 1533-position model. The record is from RNAcentral.